AGAUUUGAUCUGGAGUCAAGAGGAGCCACAGAACAUGGGCUGCUGGUCAUUUGUAUCACCAAGAUUUGAAAAACAGUUAGCCUGCAAGUUGAGAUUAGUCAGUAGACCAGCAUUACCGGCUCCUGCCGUGGGGAUCGGUACCCUCCACCAUCAGCAGCAUGAAGCCAUCCUGACCGCGUCUUUCUCCUGAGACCACACAACCAUAAACUUCCAAGAAGUGAUCGUCUUAGUGUAGCAAACAAGCGAUGACUGAUACACUGACAACAAACGCCAAGUACUAUUUGUAGCCUGAGCACUAAACAGAGGUUUGGCUGUUUAAUGCAUCCCCUUAUUUAGGUAUAAGGGAACUUUUUGAAAGUAUCAUAAUUGAUAUUUCAGAAGUAAUAUUUGGCACAUAAAAAAAAAAAUUUGUAUAGAAGAAAUGUAGAAAACGAACAAAGCAUACAUGCGUGUUGUGUAUGUAAUUUUUUUUAAGCACUUUUCAAUUAAAUUUGAUAUACAU
This is a long non-coding RNA of Carassius auratus (goldfish), 502 nucleotides long. RefSeq lists it as uncharacterized. NCBI's taxonomy places the organism in Eukaryota, Metazoa, Chordata, Actinopteri, Cypriniformes, Cyprinidae. The transcript is spliced from 2 exons. The record is from RefSeq and is a predicted model, not a curated record.